AUCUGUCUCAGAAGAGACCUACUAUGGAGCUCAAGGAGGUGCAGUGUAGACAGACAGACCGCAGACUGACUGCAGCCCUCCAGCUUUGGUCUUGCUGUCAGCUGGUACUAUCAGCAAUGAUUAAACAUAAGCAAGCAUUGUGAUUCAUCAAGAACUGAUAGACUCAUCACUGAUGUAAACAUUCUUUAGUCUCAAGGUCAGAUCAGAGAGGCAGAGAGAGAGGAAGAAAGAGAAUC
Molecule: long non-coding RNA, 236 nt
Organism: Hyaena hyaena (striped hyena)
Lineage: Eukaryota; Metazoa; Chordata; Mammalia; Carnivora; Hyaenidae
Exons: 3
Source: RefSeq, a predicted model, not a curated record